Molecule: ribosomal RNA, 950 nt
Filed under: uncultured bacterium
Lineage: Bacteria
Description: bacterial SSU rRNA
Rfam family: Bacterial small subunit ribosomal RNA
Source: RNAcentral
GAUGAACGCUAGCGGCAGGCUUAACACAUGCAAGUCGAGGGGCAGCACGGGUAGCAAUGCCUGGUGGCGACCGGCGGAAGGGUGCGUAACGCGUGAGCAACAUGCCCUAUACAGGGGAAUAAACCAGGGAAACUUGGUCUAAUGCCCCAUAGCAAUAAGAUAAGGCAUCUUAUUUUAUUUAAAGCUUCGGUGGUAUAGGAUUGGCUCGCGUGACAUUAGCUGGAUGGUGGGGUAACGGCCCACCAUGGCGAUGAUGUCUAGGGGUUCUGAGAGGAAGACCCCCCACACUGGGACUGAGACACGGCCCAGACUCCUACGGGAGGCAGCAGUGAGGAAUAUUGGACAAUGGAUGGAAAUCUGAUCCAGCCAUGCCGCGUGCAGGAAGACGGCCCUAUGGGUUGUAAACUGCUUUUCUACGGGAGCAAUAAGGUCUACGCGUAGACUGAUGAGAGUACCGUAGGAAUAAGCAUCGGCUAACUCCGUGCCAGCAGCCGCGGUAAUACGGAGGAUGCGAGCGUUAUCCGGAUUUAUUGGGUUUAAAGGGUGCGUAGGCGGCUUUUUAAGUCAGCGGUGAAAUUUUGCAGCUUAACUGUAACAGUGCCGUUGAUACUGGGGAGCUAGGAUUUGGUUGCUGUGGGUGGAAUGUGUGGUGUAGCGGUGAAAUGCUUAGAGAUCACACAGAAUAUCGAUUGCGAAGGCAGCUCACAAAGCCAAGAUUGACGCUGAGGCACGAAAGUGUGGGGAUCAAACAGGAUUAGAUACCCUGGUAGUCCACACUGUAAACGAUGAUAACUCGCUGUCGGCGAUACACAGUCGGUGGCCAAGCGAAAGCGAUAAGUUAUCCACCUGGGGAGUACGACCGCAAGGUUGAAACUCAAAGGAAUUGACGGGGGCCCGCACAAGCGGAGGAACAUGUGGUUUAAUUCGAUGAUACGCGAGGAACCUUACCC